This 29-nucleotide non-coding RNA is filed under the name Homo sapiens (human). The record is from RNAcentral. Lineage: Eukaryota; Metazoa; Chordata; Mammalia; Primates; Hominidae.
UCACGCCUUGUAUGACCCUUGCAAGCCCA